CAUUUAUUGAAUGGAUCAUCAUUUUCUGGGGACUACCAUGUGCCAGGCACUACACUCUGCAUGGAUGAGCAUCCCUUAAUCCUCAAGGAACCCUAUGAAGCUGGUGUUUAUGAAAUAAUGAGCAAGAAAAAAUGCACUACAAGUUCAAAGAACGGCUCUGACAUUCAAGUUGUACCAGCAAAGGUGAUGAUCCAAAAACAUGAACUCUAAGAGUUCAUGGCAGGCCCCCUCCCCACCAGAGCUCAGAACGCCUGUCUACCAGGGAACAUCUGAAGAGUGAUAUAAGACUAGUCAACAUAAGUACAUCCAUGGACAUCAUUUCAUAAUGUACUAUAUCACUUUCUUUAUGCAAAACUUGAAUCUCAAGAAGUCUGAACUACCUUCGGGUAAUACACCCACUGGAUAGUAAAGCUUCCAGAGUCACUUCAUGAAGUUUACUCCAGAAGGAAUUUCCCCCGCUAACUAAUAAUGCCACAAAGUUUCCAACUUCCUAUAACACUCCAACAUCUUUCCAGAUGCUAAACAAAGUUAUUCUCCAAGGGAGCAACUGAUGAUUUGAAAGGAAGAACAGUACAGCUCAGCAAUGUUUGUAGGCUAAGUUCAGCCUCCCAGUAGCUUUGCCACAUCUUUUCUAUGGGGAAAUUAACAAGAAAAGCUCUCGGCUUAAUAUAUUAUUGGAACUUGGCUACAAGCUAAUUGGGGAAGAGAAAUCAUAGGGAAAUGCAGCCAGCUGCUGGAAGUCUCCAACACAAAUCUGGAAAAUGGUGAGACACUUAGUGGACAGAGGAUUGCUUAACAUAUAGGCAGGGUAUAAGAGUACAUGUGAUUUACUAUGUAUUUAGCUACAUUUUUCCCUCAGAGUAAGUGACACGCUUUCAAAGCACACAAUGCAAAAUUGUGGCCCAUGAGGAGGAACUAGCCAAAUAGAAAUCCUUAAAGAAUUUUAGCUGGGAAAAGAAGCUGGUGUAAAAAUCAAAAGGCCAGUUCAUACCUGAGUCCCAAGGCACCCAUCUACCUACAGACUUGAGAGCCAGCAAGAAACUUGAAAAGACAUCACCGAUCACCCUAAAAGCAGCAAGCUGAGGUUCAGAAAUUAUCUCUGCUAAGCCUGAAAAAAGAGUUAUCUCACACAUAUGCCUUCAUGUGAGUCUUCUAAAUCUCAGCCCAGGUUUCUCCCCCACUCGCCCUUCAAUAGAAUAAAAUCAUUACUGCUGCCUAUUUAUAACGAGAUGAAAGUCCACAGAGAAACGUACAGGAAGCCCACGAGACCCCUGUCCCCUCCCAUAGUGCCGCCACAACCUGGGAAGACAAUUAACCAGCUCACCCCUGCAGUUUUUAAUGGCCCCAAUCAUAGGAGACCAGGAGAGCAGACCCAGCCUGAUUUAACAGGCACUUUCUCACACGUGGUGCAUUUCAAGUGUAAAACAGUUCACUUCAUUUUCUUGGUUCCUGUUUGUGCUUCUAAAAGUAUUCUUGGAGAGAUUAAGGACCAUUGGUGGAGACCAAGAGCAUGAAAGCUCUUCAUGCUCAAACCCUUUGCAGGGCUCUAUGCCGCAACGUGUCAACUGAGCCGGCCCAAGGGCUAGAAGCAGCAAACACAGGUGUUGCUGAAAGCGCCCCUCCCCCUCUCACCAUCACCACCAAGGGCUGGUAUGCAAACAGAGCGGGAGGAUGUGCAGACACAUGCUUCUUCAGACAAAGUGUGGACGUGUGCUCAGGUUCCAUCUUGACCAAGUUACUUGCUAUAAGCCUCACUGUGACUCCCUAUGAAAUGGGGAUAGGAAAAGUACCCGACAGAGGUGAUGAUGAGAAUGAGAUCAUGUGCACAAGGCUGGGCAGUGUGAUGGCACACAGAACCUGCUCAACAGUCGUUAGCUGUCAGCAUCCGUAUCACAAUCAGGUACUAAGAGAUACUGAAGAACUCCCAGGCUUUACUCAGCCCCCAUCCAGGGGCUCCCUAUGCUUACAUCCCUGCACAGAACUCUCUCUGAAAGGUUCAGACACAUGCGCCCAGGCCCAAACACAAACCUGAUCGUCCACUCGCUUGCAUGCGAAGGCAUGGAGCAUACAAGCACACGGCAUAUCUGUGGGCUGAAGCAGGGGUUCCCAGCUUGACUGUGCACUGGUGUCACCUGGAAGGCUCCUGAAAAUGCAGGUUUCUGGGUCCCAUCCUCAGCGAUGCUGCCUCGGUACGUCUGAGUUGGGACUCAAGAAUUUGCAUGUCUGAUGCACCAAUCCAAGGACCACAUUUGGAGAACAAGCAUGCCAAAGGAAUGAGAAAUAAGAGACAAGAAUGGAAAUAGGGGUAAAUGAAAACAAAAGCCACCUGUGAAAAGCUCAGACCCAAAGGGAGUCUAGAGCCCUUGAUGGAACCAGGGGCCGGCCCUCUAGUGAGGAGCAAGAAUGACUGCAGGCAGGGGUCCUCCCACUGUGGAGGCAGCCAUGCAGCACUGACCCAAGGCCACAGCCCAAAAGGGCCAUCCAGAGGGGUGGGUGUCUGACAAUGAGACCACUGGUGGGACGUACACCAUCCCGCUCAGUCACUGUGAAUGCAAUGCUGCAGCCGAAAGCCUGCUCACAGGGAGACUGAUGGGCAUAUUUCAUGCUAAUUCUUCUGGAGUGGGGAAGCUUUUAUUCUCCUCAUGUCAAGAAGAAAAUGAUGGCAGACAUUUCCGGUAGAAAUGCCACCGCAUUCUUUAUAAUGUCAUUCAGCUGCUGCAGAAUUAAACUACUGACCAAAUGAAUCUGUUUACCGAACAAACUGUGGCUUGAUCUUCUUGCCCUGAGGGCUGAAGUGUCAUGCUGCCCAAGCAUCCACAUUUAUUCUAAGGGAUGUCAGACGAUGAAGCACCGUAUACACAGGCGGGGGCUUUAAUGCUAUGGGAGGAAGCCAGGCCAAGGGUUGUCACCUACUCCAGCAUGCUCGCCCUUUCUAGGGCUCCCCAUUUCCCUCAGGGUUAUGUCUGUUCAAAGCCUCUAGCACGGUGCAUGACUCCUUAUUUCCAUAGCUUCACAGGUCCUCGGCUUGCAUUCCCUGAGCACAGGCACCUGCACCCAAGGGCUCAGGACUCCUUUAUCUCUGGGCCUUUGCUCGAGCCGUUCCCUCUGCCUGGAACACUGUCUUCUCCUGCCUCCUCCAUAUGCUUAACUCCUAUCCAUCUUUCUACUAUCAGGUUAAAGAUCACCACGGUGUGCCCAAACAGUAUCUGCUAUGGAUUGAAUUGUGUCCCCAUCCUGAAAAAAAAAAAAGAAAAAAGAAAAAAAACACCUCCUACGUUGAAGCCCUAACUUCCAAUAUGGGAGCUAUGUGGAGGUGGGGCCUUGGGAGGUAAUGAGGAUUAUUAGAUGAGGCCACGAGGGUGGAGCCCCCUAGUGGGAUCAGUGCCCUUAUAAGAAGGGGAAGAACCAAGUCUCUGCCAUGUGAGGCCAGCAAGAAGGUGGCCACCUGCAGGCCAGGAGGAGACCUCUCACCAGAAAUCCAAUCUGCAGUCAUCCUGGUCUCAGACAUCCAGCCUCCAGAACUGUGAAAUCGAAGUGUCUGUUGUCUACGGUAUUUUGUUACAGCAGCCUGAGCUGACUAAUGUAGUGCUCCUCUAGCUCCCAUUCACAGCCUUCAUGGUUUUGAGAAGAGUAUGUAUCCAGAUCAUAAGGUCUGUGAGGCCAAGAGACAUUUACUGACCAGAGUAUCUGGAGAACGUAGUAAAGCUUUGAAAUAGGCGUAGUUAAGUGCUGAGCAAACAUUUACAAAUGAGUGCAUAAAUGAACGAACGAAUGAAUGAAUGAACGAACGAACGAAUGAACGAAGAAGCAAGUGAACAAAUAGUGAGCAACUGCCUGCCUCUUUCAGGUCCUCCCUGCAAAAUGAGGCAUUCUGGCGGAGGACUUUUCACAAAAUUUGCAAUCGGGGACACAGCAGGGACUCCAGAACAGCUGCAAAGCAUGAAGCUCAGAGCGUGUGGGGAAUCAGAAGAACCUGCUCCAGGCCACUUCUGGGCUCUGGGAGCUACUCAGCUUUGAAGGCAGUGCUGGACCCUGAAAGCAGAGCCCUCAAAGCGGGGACCCCGCCAACCUGGGCUUCCAAGGAAGAGUUUCAAAAACGCUUGUAGAAACAAGGGCUAGGCUAACCUUAGAAAUUCUGCUCUAAUCAGUUACAUGUACUAGAUUCCAGGUGAAAUUUCAUUUGACAGAAAAAUAGAUUUUACUGCUUGCCAAAAAGAUGAAAUGCAAUCUGAAACUCAUGGUUAUUUUCUAAAGCUUCAGUCCCACUCAGUCCCAGUGGCCUUGUCUCUGCAGAAGAACUUUCCAAGGAGAACAAAUUGAAUUGUUUGCUGUAUGAUGAUUUACACCAGCUCAUUUCGUAGGGUCUUGAAAUCCUAGUGACCCGCUGGUUCUGGUAUGACCAGAAUAAAAUAAGAGUCUUUGGACAUUAGUCCUCUAUGGCCCAACUCGGUGUCUGCUGUUGAGAUGCACAGAGGAGCCCAAGGGCCUUCCAUUUUGGUUUAAGGAACGAGUCAACCAGUAGGCCAGGGUCUGUACAGUCAGGGAACAUAGGCCAUGACCCGAACCCAGUGGCUCUCUUUGAAGAAAAGACCCAUGUCUGCAGAACAGAGCCUCGGAUUUUGCCAACAGACCCGAGGGCAAGUUACCACAGGGCUCCUAUGAGGAAAGCAACGGCCAACACUACCAUUGUGUCUAGGUUACAGACCACGAGAGCAGAUUUGUGACAUCAGAGCAUGCGUCUCAGACCCUGCCAUCCUCUAGGUCUUUGCUGUCCUCCUCCCUGAGGACUUCCGUGGGGAACAGGGGCUGCUGGGAGGCGGAUACACCUAUGAACAGAAACCACAAAACUCCGCCAUCUGGAUAUUUCCCCACCCACCCCUGACACAAGAAUGGUGCGAAUCCCACACCCUGAACAGAACUGAUGAAACCGAACGGCAAUGAUGAGCAAAGCCAGUCUGGUUCCAUUUUCUCACUCUUCCCCCUUCGGUUCUCAGCAGAGAGAAAUGGGACCUGCUUUCAGACCGCUGCCAGUUGACCCGAGAAACCCUGAAUGACUCAAACAAGCACAGGGCCUCACAAAUGGUACAUGGCAGGUCAAAGUGCAGAGAAGGCUCUGGCCAACAUCCAUGACCCAGUUGGCUGCAGCAGCACACUCUCUGUAAACAUGGCUCCCGAGCCCUCCCGUGAGACCUCUGACCUUACAUGCCUCUUGGCACCUCUUGGCAAGACCCCAUCCAGUAAGUGAGAGAAACACUAGUCAUCUUGAGAAUAGCACUUGCAUGCUAUUUAAGUCGAACUGUGGUACAAAAGUGCAAAGAUUUUUAAAAAACAUCACCUCCAGGAACAUUUUAAAUAUGUUGUGCCGAGGGGCAGAAAGUUUAUACAAAUAUUAUACUUUCAGUUUAAUUACUACAUAGUAGCUCUUGCCCAGGUUAUGGAUUUACCUCAGAGCCACGUCAGAAUUUAGGAACACUCUACAUAUACCUCUGCAAUUACUCAUAGGUCUCCAUAUACCAACUCACUGAGACUUAGCCUGGGUGAUGGCAUCAAUCUCUCCAACAAGAUGGGCUCAUACACUGCGAAUAAACGCCAUGGGAGCCAUCCGGGCAGCACUACACCAGACUUUCUUCAUUCGGAUUAGGGGGACUCCUGAUGAGGCUGGAGCUGCCCCUGGAGACGCACCUCAUCCUCCCUAGACACAAAGGGAAUCCUCGACUGACCUAGUCUAGGAAAUAGCAGGAAACUGAAAGAACAAAAAAGAAUAAUGCAUGUAUUUUGACCUCUCCUCCUAAAGUUAAGAGCAGUAAGCUACAGGAAGAACAAAGAAAGAAAAGAACAGAUA
Long non-coding RNA from Acinonyx jubatus (cheetah), 5842 nucleotides. RefSeq lists it as uncharacterized. NCBI's taxonomy places the organism in Eukaryota, Metazoa, Chordata, Mammalia, Carnivora, Felidae. The record is from RefSeq and is a predicted model, not a curated record. The transcript has 2 exons.